GAAACACAGAGAAUGUUGUGCCUGGAGACUUGCUUCAGCCCCCAGGGAUUAAAGGGCAGAGAGAAAGAGGACAAGCAUCUUGAUGCCUGAGCCAGUAAGUCCUACAAACUGUGGAAGAAAGGCCCAGAGGCAGGGCUCCCAAGUAGGGAGGGCUUGGCUGUACCCAGGUUUUUUUCUUCAGGCCAAGCCAGAAGGCAGUUCAGAAACUCAGGAUGCUGUCCUCCUCACGGUCAGACCUGGGAACCCAAGGAGGGCAUUAUGUGGCCCUGGCCUGGGGGCUGAGCAGAAAUCUUCACUGGAAGUGGCUUGGUUGAGUCUCCUGAAGCUGCUGACACUGUCUCCUUGGCUAACCCCACAAGGGCCGUUUGCUGGGACUUCUAACUUGACAUUGGCAUUGACAUCCCCCUCACAAGAGAGAAGGAGAGGCACCUGCAGUCCUGCUUCCCCUGUGUAUGGGAACCAGGAACUUGAACCCACGUCCAUGUGCUCUAGCAG
Long non-coding RNA from Erinaceus europaeus (western European hedgehog), 495 nucleotides. RefSeq lists it as uncharacterized. The transcript is spliced from 3 exons. NCBI's taxonomy places the organism in Eukaryota, Metazoa, Chordata, Mammalia, Eulipotyphla, Erinaceidae. The record is from RefSeq and is a predicted model, not a curated record.